GACGUAGGGCGCGAGCGUUGUCCGGAUUUAUUGGGCGUAAAGAGCUCGUAGGCGGCUUGUCGCGUCGUCUGUGAAAUCCCGCGGCUCAACUGCGGGCUGGCAGUCGAUACGGGCAGGCUGGAGUUCGGUAGGGGAGACUGGAAUUCCUGGUGUAGCGGUGAAAUGCGCAGAUAUCAGGAGGAACACCGGUGGCGAAGGCGGGUCUCUGGGCCGAUACUGACGCUGAGGAGCGAAAGCGUGGGGAGCGAACAGG
RNAcentral lists this ribosomal RNA (253 nucleotides) under uncultured bacterium. Its description in RNAcentral is "partial 16S ribosomal RNA". It matches the Rfam family "Bacterial small subunit ribosomal RNA", at positions 524 to 776 of the family's 1533-position model. The record is from RNAcentral.